UUUAUAUAAUCUUGUACUGUCACAGUUCCUUAUAACCAGAGUCUAAAAUAUGACUAUAUCUCAUAUCCUUACACAUGUUUAAAAGAUGAAAACAAGUUUGAUAUGUCAGCGGAAGUCGAAAAUAAUGUUCCGAAGCAAGUCCAUCUGUACCUUAAUGGUAAAAAUAAUCCACCAUCAAAUUUAGCUCGUUCCUGGAAGAUUCAAACUAAAAAUCAAUUUAAAUCUGUAAAAGCCCGUUAUAUUAAUUUGAGGAGUGAAUCGUGUAACAAGAUUAGAAUAUCACAGAACGAGACUAUGUUUAACUGUACAGAAGAACAACUUGUUAUAUUAAAUGAGGAGUUAGAUAUAACAGGAAACCAGAUUGAUAUAACAAUUCAUAGUCUAACAUUACAGACAGAUGAAUUUAUCUCGCUUGAAUUUGUAGUAGAUGACGAUGCUAACAUAUCUUUAAAGUGUGAAGUUAUGGAUCAGGCAACGGUAUUAACACCACCUUUAGAGGUUACAUCAACUACAGUAGAUGUUAAUUAUCGAGAAUUAAAGACGAAUAUAGCGGCGAUAGUUGGAGGAAUUUUGGGAACAGCUUUAUUUAUCAGUAUUUGUGUUAUAAUUCUACUGAUUAUCUAUUUUAAAAGGAUAAUUAAGAAAAGAGAAUCUCAUCAGGUAGUAAACCAGAACAAUCAUGACUAUACCACUACACUUAAUAGGGUUGGAGAUACAGCAACUGUUGUUUAUGAUUCUUUAAAUACAAGACAACAAACUGGUUAUUAUAAUAUGGGCAGUAUAAACCAAUAUGAUGACAGUAGACCAGAUACAGCUGUUGAUAGUCCACAACAAACAACCGCAACUGGUGAUAGUCCACAACAAACAAAUACAACCAAUGGAAUGAACUACAGCAAUCUUUUGAACGAAAUUUAGGAGCUGAUUUUAUUCAGAGCGGACUUUGACGGUUGAAUCUUUGUGUUUGUUCAAAUUAUAAUAUACAUUUAAAACAUGAAACAUGUUCUUUAAUGUGAACGGUCAUGACAGUUAUAUAUAAUAUGCACACCUCAUUUUUUUAUGGUGUAAAACACCAGAAUCCAACUUGGUUGAAAAGACAAAAUCCCAACUAGGUCUAUUCGUCUAGCGUCCCUCAAUUCCAUACCAAUACAAUCCAAAGUGUAAUACAAAUUAAUUGCAUCCAAAUCAUAUGUCAUAAUAAUUAUGAAGCUGGAGCCCAUGCAUAGUUUGGAAUGUUUAAACAUCAACCGAGCAAAUAUGUACAUAGAUGAAAUUGGGUUAAAAAUAGGCUUUACUCUAUUAUUUAUAAUGUACAACAGAUAUUUAUGUCACUUAUAAUGUGAAUAACACAUAACCGAAAAAAAUAUUACACAUCAUUCAAUUAUAUUUAAUUAUAAUCCUUUAGAGACAUUAAGUAACAUGUUUUGAACCUUUUAAUGAUAUUCUUCCAAAUGUCGACCAAAUAAAUUAGUAAUUGUUCUUCAAUAAGUAAGUAUUAUAGUUUAUUGUACUUCACUCACUACAUGUACUUACUAUGAAUCAAGGUAUUUUAUUACAUAACACCUGAUCUAUUAUAUAUAAUGACAC
Molecule: long non-coding RNA, 1584 nt
Organism: Patella vulgata (common limpet)
Lineage: Eukaryota; Metazoa; Mollusca; Gastropoda; Patellidae
Exons: 6
Source: RefSeq, a predicted model, not a curated record